RNAcentral lists this ribosomal RNA (435 nucleotides) under uncultured bacterium. RNAcentral's name for it is "partial 16S ribosomal RNA". It matches the Rfam family "Bacterial small subunit ribosomal RNA", at positions 29 to 507 of the family's 1533-position model. The record is from RNAcentral.
AGCGAACGCCGGCGGCAGGCUUAACACAUGCAAGUCGAGCGGGCACCUUCGGGUGUCAGCGGCGGACGGGUGAGUAACGCGUGGGAACGUGCCCUCUGGUUCGGAAUAACUCAGGGAAACUUGAGCUAAUACCGGAUACGCCCUUUUGGGGAGAGGCUUGCUGCCGGAGGAUCGGCCCGCGUCUGAUUAGCUAGUUGGUGAGGUAACGGCUCACCAAGGCGACGAUCAGUAGCUGGUCUGAGAGGAUGAUCAGCCACACUGGGACUGAGACACGGCCCAGACUCCUACGGGAGGCAGCAGUGGGGAAUAUUGGACAAUGGGCGCAAGCCUGAUCCAGCCAUGCCGCGUGAGUGAUGAAGGCCUUAGGGUUGUAAAGCUCUUUUAUCCGGGACGAUAAUGACGGUACCGGAGGAAUAAGCCCCGGCUAACUUCGUG